GACGAACGCUGGCGGCGUGCUUAACACAUGCAAGUCGAACGAAGAGCGAUGGAAGCUUGCUUCUAUCAAUCUUAGUGGCGAACGGGUGAGUAACGCGUAAUCAACCUGCCCUUCAGAGGGGGACAACAGUUGGAAACGACUGCUAAUACCGCAUACGAUCCAAUCUCGGCAUCGGGACUGGAUGAAAGGUGGCCUCUAUUUAUAAGCUAUCACUGAAGGAGGGGAUUGCGUCUGAUUAGCUAGUUUGAGGGGUAACGGCCCACCAAGGCGAUGAUCAGUAGCCGGUCUGGGAGGAUGGACGGCCAAAAUGGGACCGAGAAACGGGCCAGACCCCUAAGGGAGGCAGCAGUGGGGAAUCUUCCGCAAUGGACGAAAGGCUGACGGAGCAACGCCGGGGGAGGGAUGACGGCCUUCGGGUUGGAAAGGUCUGUUAAUCGGGACGAAUGGUCCUUGUGCGAAUAGUGCGAGGAUUUGACGGUACCGGAAUAGAAAGCCACGGCUAACUACGUG
RNAcentral lists this ribosomal RNA (510 nucleotides) under uncultured bacterium. RNAcentral describes it as "partial 16S ribosomal RNA". It matches the Rfam family "Bacterial small subunit ribosomal RNA", at positions 28 to 507 of the family's 1533-position model. The record is from RNAcentral.